This 75-nucleotide small nucleolar RNA is filed under the name Carlito syrichta (Philippine tarsier). RNAcentral describes it as "Small nucleolar RNA SNORA15 (ENSTSYG00000025116.2)". It matches the Rfam family "Small nucleolar RNA SNORA15". From Rfam's summary of the family: ACA15 is a member of the H/ACA class of snoRNA that guide the sites of modification of uridines to pseudouridines. The record is from Rfam by way of RNAcentral. Lineage: Eukaryota; Metazoa; Chordata; Mammalia; Primates; Tarsiidae.
UCAUGGCUGAAUGCUGUGUUCUUUUUCUAUCAGUAGUUUGCACAGCCAGACACCAUGCCAAACAAACAAACAAAC